RNAcentral lists this ribosomal RNA (911 nucleotides) under Coniothyrium pyrinum. RNAcentral describes it as "LSU rRNA". It matches the Rfam family "Eukaryotic large subunit ribosomal RNA", at positions 35 to 964 of the family's 3401-position model. The record is from RNAcentral. Lineage: Eukaryota; Fungi; Ascomycota; Dothideomycetes; Pleosporales; Coniothyriaceae.
UAAGCAUAUCAAUAAGCGGAGGAAAAGAAACCAACAGGGAUUGCCCUAGUAACGGCGAGUGAAGCGGCAACAGCUCAAAUUUGAAAUCUGGCGUCUUUGGCGUCCGAGUUGUAAUUUGCAGAGGGCGCUUUGGCAUUGGCAGCGGUCCAAGUUCCUUGGAACAGGACGUCACAGAGGGUGAGAAUCCCGUACGUGGUCGCUAGCCUUUACCGUGUAAAGCCCCUUCGACGAGUCGAGUUGUUUGGGAAUGCAGCUCUAAAUGGGAGGUAAAUUUCUUCUAAAGCUAAAUACUGGCCAGAGACCGAUAGCGCACAAGUAGAGUGAUCGAAAGAUGAAAAGCACUUUGGAAAGAGAGUUAAAAAGCACGUGAAAUUGUUGAAAGGGAAGCGCUUGCAGCCAGACUUGCCUGUAGUUGCUCAUCCGGGUUUCUACCCGGUGCACUCUUCUAUAGGCAGGCCAGCAUCAGUUUGGGCGGUUGGAUAAAGGUCUCUGUCAUGUACCUCCUUUCGGGGAGAACUUAUAGGGGAGACGACAUGCAACCAGCCUGGACUGAGGUCCGCGCAUCUGCUAGGAUGCUGGCGUAAUGGCUGUAAGCGGCCCGUCUUGAAACACGGACCAAGGAGUCUAACAUCUAUGCGAGUGUUUGGGUGUCAAGCCCGAGCGCGUAAUGAAAGUGAACGGAGGUGGGAACCUUUCGGGGUGCACCAUCGACCGAUCCUGAUGUCUUCGGAUGGAUUUGAGUAAGAGCAUAGCUGUUGGGACCCGAAAGAUGGUGAACUAUGCUUGAAUAGGGUGAAGCCAGAGGAAACUCUGGUGGAGGCUCGCAGCGGUUCUGACGUGCAAAUCGAUCGUCAAAUUUGGGCAUAGGGGCGAAAGACUAAUCGAACUAUCUAGUAGCUGGUUCCUGCCGA